UACGGGGGGAGCAAGCGUUGUUCGGAUUUACUGGGCGUAAAGGGCGCGUAGGCGGCGCAACAAGUCACUUGUGAAAUCUCCGGGCUUAACCCGGAGCGGCCAAGUGAUACUGUCGUGCUAGAGUGCGGAAGGGGCUACUGGAAUUCUCGGUGUAGCGGUGAAAUGCGUAGAGAUGUGGAGGAACACCAGUGGCGAAGGCGACUCUUUGGCCUGUAACUGACACUGAGGCGCGAAAGCGUAGGGAGCAAACAGG
This 253-nucleotide ribosomal RNA is filed under the name uncultured bacterium. Its description in RNAcentral is "partial 16S ribosomal RNA". It matches the Rfam family "Bacterial small subunit ribosomal RNA", at positions 524 to 776 of the family's 1533-position model. The record is from RNAcentral.